Non-coding RNA from Erinaceus europaeus (western European hedgehog), 93 nucleotides. Lineage: Eukaryota; Metazoa; Chordata; Mammalia; Eulipotyphla; Erinaceidae. The record is from Rfam.
UCCUGUGGAAGGCAUGUGCUCGCUCAUUCCUGGUGCUGCGGUGAAGGCUCUUCUGCACCGGUUGGAUUUACAGUGAUACUUGGCCACCUGGAA